GUUAUUUGAGGUGGGAAAGGUUCCCCACGCGCUGCCUUUGCAAUUAUUAUUGCUCGGGUAGUUACCAGAGAUCAGGAGUGCCGCCCUGCUUAAC
This 94-nucleotide non-coding RNA is filed under the name unclassified sequences. RNAcentral describes it as "skipping-rope RNA". It matches the Rfam family "skipping-rope RNA". Rfam says of the family: Firmicutes, Fusobacteria, AlphaProteobacteria, Spirochaetes. Downstream gene The record is from Rfam by way of RNAcentral.